RNAcentral lists this long non-coding RNA (238 nucleotides) under Sorghum bicolor (sorghum). RNAcentral describes it as "long non-coding RNA (SBIC_LNC009927)". The record is from RNAcentral. Lineage: Eukaryota; Viridiplantae; Streptophyta; Magnoliopsida; Poales; Poaceae.
UACAUUAGUAUUUCCUCAUCCUUAAUAGUUUCUAGAUUGUUUGUGCCCCCUUAGAUUAAGAAAUUAUAGGCUAAGUCAUAAAUCACCUACUGUUCCUUUGGGUUUGAUAUUAAAACUGGGUUAAUCUUGGUGAAGUGCUGAUCAGUAUAUAUUUGUGCGCUUGUGGAUAAUCUGAUUAUAGUCAUUAUUAGGGUGCAGUUAAUUUAUACCAACAUGCAUUUCUGGCGCCAUUGCCGGG